GGAGGGGGCAAAGAGCGGCAGAAAGAAGUGAGAGAUAUCACUCCGCCCCAGCGUUAAAGUCCGUUUGUACCUGCGCAGGUGCGCCCAGAGAGGCGUCUGCCUGAUGCGGUGCACAGACUGGAUUUAUACUGUCAUCUUCAUGUGGAGUGUUUCCAAAGGUUUCCUCACAGAAACACACAAACAUCCGAGGACCUGUUACAGCAAACGACCCACCUCAUCUUUACUAUGGAACUCUGAAGGGCUGAAUAAACAUACCCACACAGACAUUAUUAGAAGAGUUUAAAGAGCUUUUUCCUGUUUAUGAAUAUAAGUUUCUAUUUUCACUUGUUUUGCAUCUGAUUUUUCACCUUUUUCGUCUGGAGUUUUACUGCUGUGAUCAUUAAGUAUCUGAUGGCAGUUGUUGUUGGCAUGUCCUUGUCAUAAAUUCAAAUAUUUGUCUAUUUUUCAUCACUCUGGUCUCUUUGUGGUCAUUUUGCAGAAACCUUUUGUUCUUUACAGUUGUUUGUGUUUUGUGUGUUCAGCUGGGUCUAUUUUUUUCUCGUUAUUUGUAUCUUUGAUCACAACAAUACGUUUUCUGUCUUUUACCGUGGAAGUCUAUGGGACCGGCUCGCUGCUGCCUCUGCUGGACGUCUGAGGAAUUGCAGAUUGUGCCACUUCCGCGUUGGCUUGGAGAUUUCCGCGGAGUGAUCCUUCUUCCUCCAUCACGAUCUCCGCAGCCUUCACUCAGCCGACACGUCGAUCGGGAUUCUCUGCCUGGAAACGCCGCAAAUCGGAACCGGCGGCCGACACAGACGGAGCGGUCUCGCGGGCUUCGUGGGGGUCGAUUAGGCGCGACUCUUUCUCCUGACUGAAGAUGGGAAGUGAUCAGAGCCAUGAGAGGAAGGCUGAAGAGACUGAGAAGGAAACUGAAAAACACGAGCAGUGUGACAAAACCGAGGAUGCGACUCCUAAAGAGAUGCCAGGAGAGCUGCCCCAGUGCAGGAUGGGAAACAGGAGGGUGGACAACAUGUGUUUCAUGAUCUCGUGCACUAACUGGUACUGAACUGGUCCCCGUGUGUUGGGCUCACGAUGAAACAGAAGCACACUGGAGGAUCUGUCUGCAUCUGUGCUGCUAAAACGACAAAUGCACCUGACUUCACUUUCCUUAAAUUCAAAACCAAGACUAAUGAUAAAAGGAAGAGAUGGAAAAGGAUUUCAAACGAUGGGUCACAAGAUUCGUGGGCUGUGUGGGAUGCUUGGAUUUCUAGUCAUGCCAAUAAAGACUGAGCAAAAGUAAAGAAGUGUUGCUCGUCAUGCUCUGUGGGCUCAGACAGCUGUGUGAAAACGAUCAAAGAGAAGCGAGAGCUGAACAAAGAUUGCUCACUUCAGUUACUGAUGUUCAAAAAGAAUUAGACUAGAAAGGGAAGGAAAGGAGGAUGGAAGAGGGAAAGGAAGGAAAGAAAGCAAUUGGGAAAGGGAGGGAAGUAAGGAAAGGAGAAGGAAGCAAAAAAAGGAAGAAAACUGACAACGGAAGGAAAGGAAGGAGGAAACAACGGAAACGUGAAAGAAAUAAGGGGGUUAGGGAAGAGGCAAGAAGAAAGGAGCGAUGGGGAAAUGAAUGAAGGAAAGAGGAAGGAAAAAGAACAAAGAAAGCAAAGAAAGGAUGAAAGGAAAGGAAAUGAGAGUACCUAAGGAAGGAAUGUAACAGUAAGGAGAAGACUAAGAAAGAAAGGGAGCAAAGAAGCAGGUAGGAACAAAGGAAGGAAAGGAAGAUGAAAGAAGGAGGAAAGGGAAAAUCAAAGAAGGGAGCAAAUAUAAAAGGAAGCAAAGAUGAAAAAGGAAAGAAGUGAGGAAGAAAAGAAGGGGACAAAGAGGUGGUUUUGGUAAAAAGGAGACCUUUGAGUCUAAUUUGUUUCACUCAGAGCUGUAAAAAUCCGAACACACUGCAGCGUGUUCAGAGUUCAGCAGGAACGACAUUAAUCAACAGACCGAAAGAAGUUUCAGUUUAAGACGUGAUGGAUUCAUCAGGAAUAUCAUUAUUCAUGUCUGUGAUAAGAUUAAUGCUGCAUAUCUGACACUUACUGUCUCAUAAUUAUGAGAAAGUCUUCAGGUGGUUAUAAAUCAUCUGUGCUUGAGAGGACGGGGCGACGGCGCUGAAUGAUUUAAGUUUAAUGAAUAUGAGCUCGGGUUUUAACACAAGUGGCUCCUUUUUUUUUUUCAACAAAGUCGUUCGGGAAUGUCACAAAAGCCCCGACCGGUGUGAACAGACGGGGAAUUUUACAAGAAACAAGAAGGAUGACGUCCCAGCUGGAGACAACACGAACCUUGGUUUGGUUAUUAUGUCAGAUAUUACAGCUCGACUGAAAAACUCAGACAACUCCUGUUCCUGCAAUAGUAAAAGGAAAAAAGAAGGAAAUGAUAAGGAAGAAAAGAGGGA
Long non-coding RNA from Oreochromis aureus, 2416 nucleotides. NCBI's taxonomy places the organism in Eukaryota, Metazoa, Chordata, Actinopteri, Cichliformes, Cichlidae. The record is from Ensembl.